AGUGAACGCUGGCGGUAGGCCUAACACAUGCAAGUCGAACGGCAGCACAGUAAUAGCUUGCUAUUACGGGUGGCGAGUGGCGGACGGGUGAGGAAUACAUCGGAAUCUACUUUUUCGUGGGGGAUAACGUAUGGAAACUUACGCUAAUACCGCAUACGACCUACGGGUUAAAGCAGGGGAUCUUCGGAUCUUGCGCGAUUUAAUGAGCCGAUGUCGGAUUAGCUAGUUGGCGGGGUAAAGGCCCACCAAGGCGGCGAUCCGUAGCUGGUGUGAGAGGAUGAUGAGCGACACUGGAACUGAGACACGGUACAGACUCCUACGGGAGGCAGAAGUGGGGAAGAUUGGAAAAAGGGGGGAAGACUGAACAAGCCAUACCGGGUGGGUGAAGAAGGGCUGCGGGUUGGAAAGCCGUUUUGUUGGGAAAGAAAAGCAGCAGGUUAAAACAACGCUGUUGUGACGGUACCAAAAGAAGAAGCACCGGCUAACUUCGUG
RNAcentral lists this ribosomal RNA (492 nucleotides) under uncultured bacterium. Its description in RNAcentral is "partial 16S ribosomal RNA". It matches the Rfam family "Bacterial small subunit ribosomal RNA", at positions 29 to 507 of the family's 1533-position model. The record is from RNAcentral.